UACGAAGGGGGCUAGCGUUGUUCGGAAUCACUGGGCGUAAAGGGCGCGUAGGCGGCUUUGCACGUCGGGGGUGAAAGCCUGUGGCUCAACCACAGAAUUGCCUUCGAUACUGCAUGGCUUGAGACCGGAAGAGGUAAGUGGAACUGCGAGUGUAGAGGUGAAAUUCGUAGAUAUUCGCAAGAACACCAGUGGCGAAGGCGGCUUACUGGUCCGGUUCUGACGCUGAGGCGCGAAAGCGUGGGGAGCAAACAGG
RNAcentral lists this ribosomal RNA (253 nucleotides) under uncultured bacterium. RNAcentral's name for it is "partial 16S ribosomal RNA". It matches the Rfam family "Bacterial small subunit ribosomal RNA", at positions 524 to 776 of the family's 1533-position model. The record is from RNAcentral.